AACCGACUAAACACAGCAAAAUUACAACCGAACCGUUCAUAUUCUUCACAACCAGAAACUAAACUCAGGUCCCAUAUUAGCAACUUCGUUACAUGAAGGUAGCAAGCAGGUAGGAAAAGCAAAAGGCAACUCAUGUCCCAACUUAGCAUGAAUCCUGGCGUCCGGAGGCACACCAUUUCACAUUUUAUUCUCUGCAUAGACAAGCAGCGGGGCCGUUCCACGACCGCAAAGGCCUAGGGAAGGAACCAUGGAGCGGAGAUGACGCUCUACUGGGUCUUGAACAUGUGGCGGAUCAGGUCGACAACACGGUUGCUGUAGCCCCACUCGUUGUCGUACCAGGAGACAAGCUUGACGAAGUUGUCGUUCAGAGCAAUUCCAGCCUUGGCGUCGAAGAUGCUCGACCUAAGUGGAAACAAUGAAACAGGAAAAAAAAUGAAUAACACAGCACAGGAACAAAACAACAUUCACUAGAAUUCAUCGUAGCACUAUCGUGGUGUGCCCUAGAAUAUCCACUGGUUCCUAGAACUUGGAGGACCCAAAGCAAAUUUCGUGUACCUGCUGUCACCAGUGAAGUCAGUGGAAACCAAAUCCUCAUCCGUGUAACCCAUGAUACCCUUGAGUGGCCCCUCAGACGCAGCCCUGUAAAACAAUAACAAUCAAAUUAACAACAUUUCACGAAUCCCCAACCAAGAAGAAUGCAAGAAACAUGGACUCAGGAACCUCUCCAUGUCAAACAUGGCAACAGAUUAUCAUUCCAGACAAGAAAUGUAAAUACAUUGAUAAAUUAAUUUAAAACAAUAAACAAGAGACUUACUUGAUAGCCUUCUUAAUGUCCUCAUAGGAGGCACCCUUCUGGAGUCUAACGGUGAGGUCAACAACUGACACAUCCACGGUGGGAACACGGAAGGACAUACCAGUGAGCUUGCCGUUCAAUUCAGGAAGAACCUUACCAACAGCCUGCAGUACAUUAAUAUACAAGUUAGAUGCAGAAUCACAAUUAAAUUUAUAAGAAUAUAGAAUGGUUGCCAACUUUACACUACGCAGAACAUAAGUCAAUAAUGAAGCCUUUUAACACAUGAUUCCAAGGUAUUUGCAUGCUCAUUUAUGUGAUUUAGGCUCAGAUACAUAAAUUAGUUCACAAAGCUAAGUAUAAACCCAAAACAGAGAAAUAAGCUAUCAAGUUUCUAUCACAAAUUAUCAGCUAGCCUAGCAGGUCAAAACAGUUCGCACAAACAAAAGACUACAGAAGAACUAGGAAUUACAGGCUCACUGUAUACAACAUUGUGAGUUUGUCAUAUACCUUGGCAGCACCAGUGCUGCUGGGAAUGAUGUUAAAGCUGGCAGCCCUUCCACCUCUCCAGUCCUUGGCUGAGGGUCCAUCAACAGUCUUCUGGGUGGCUGAGAGACAAGUAUCAUUCUGUCAUUACUACAAGUAUCUUCUCAAUCCUAGGAGGAACAAUGGCUCAACAGACAACUCACCAGUGAUGGCAUGAACAGUGGUCAUCAAACCCUCAAUAAUACCAAAGUUGUCAUUAAUAACCUGUUUUAUGAAGUUAGACAUCAUUAAUAACCCAUCUACAUCAGAAGAGCAGAAACAACUAAAAAAUGGCUCAAAGAAGAGACAACACACCUUAGCGAGGGGAGCAAGGCAAUUUGUGGUGCAGCUAGCAUUGGAGACAAUGUUAAUAUCUGAGGUGUACUUGUCCUCAUUGACACCAACAACAAACAUAGGUGCAUCUUUGCUUGGGGCAGAGAUAAUAACCUUCUUGGCACCACCCUAUUAUUCAAAAGCAAAAUGCAUGUGUUAGAAUCAUCCAGUUGAAACUUCGAGAAGAAUGUUGCGCUUAUGUGGAACAGGGUAAGUUACACAGCUCACAAUAAUCUACAUGCAAAAAGCACAGAUACGGUGUAGACAGUACAUGCAUGUAUUAGAUCCUAAUCAUGACGACACUACCUUGUUUAGCUUCCCAGAUGUAUAGAAGAGUCCAAUAACUCUGCUUAUAACAAAACUAAUGGACAUUAAACAAACUGGUAACACUGGACAGUCUUUAUAGAAUAGAAGAGUGUAUUUCAAAUCUCUCAGGUUAUUAAAGCAUAUCAGAAUCAAAUGACCAAUUCAAUUGGAAGGAAGAAGCUACCACUAAACACAGCUGCGAAGAAAAUUUACUACUGAAAAUUAAGACACCAUUUUUUAAGCCCAACAACUAAGUGGACCAUCACUUAAUUUGUUCCCCGCAUGUAUACAAUCAUACCAAAUUCAUGCAUUCAGGAACUAGGGAGAACAAAAUACAUGAACUGCAUGCAUUCUAACCAGCAAUAGGAUUAUGUGGCAGCAAUUAUACCUUCAAGUGAGCCGCAGCCUUGUCCUUGUCAGUGAAGACACCAGUGGACUCCACGACAUACUCGGCGCCAGCCUCAGCCCACGGGAUCUCCUCAGGGUUCCUUUUAUAUUACAGCAGUUUAAACAUUAGUUCACAGCGUGAACACAGAAGCUCAAUCCAUCACUGAAAGCAGUAACAGGGGAUGUACCUGAUGCCAAAGACGGUGACCGGCUUCUCGCUGAAGAGAAGGGUCUUGGUGUCCUUGAUCUUGAUGUCGCUGUGCUUCCACUGGCCGUGCACGGUGUCGUACUUGAACAUAUAGGUCUGCCCGAGACAGGAAGCGCAUAAAUCAUGAGCACAGCACUCAAAAUUCACAAUUCAGUACGCUAGCAAAAACUAAACACAGAGCUAAGCACUAAAUCUCAAGGUGUACAUGCCCACAAGACUAAGCACCAAGCGAAGCACUAAAUCUGAAGCUGUAGACACCCACUGACAGGAUAAAUAAAAUAUUAUAAUUAAGCAACAUGACCAGCAAAUCCCCCCAGAUCCAUGGAACCCCAGUAAAGAAUUGGAGUCAAACAACUCCGGAAGCCCACGAUUAACAGCAUCAAGCACGCUUCCUCACGAAUCGGCGCUGAACCCACCACAAAACCCCCCAUAAACCACCAGAUCUACGCACGACAGCGAACGAAACCAACAGAUCGAGGCGCGUACCAUGUAUUCGGUGGUGAUGAAGGGGUCGUUGACGGCGACGAGCUCGACAUCCUCGCUCUGGAGGGCGACCCUGGCAACAAGCCUGCCGAUUCUUCCGAAACCUAAGCCAAAUCACACAAACAAAAACCAACUCAGAUCAGUCCAGAUUCAACCACGCAGAGACCAAACAAGCACGUAGAGUUACGCUGGCGGGUACAAACUCACCGUUGAUUCCGAUCUUAAUCUUGCCUGCGCAUCCGCAAAUCCACCCAACAAAAACGAGAAAAGAAAACAAGUCAGCAAAGCCCGUCCAGGCUAGAUCCGAGUACGAAGCAUAAGAGAACAGCAAUUAGACGGGGAGAUCCGGGUCAGGAGCGAGCAAUUACCCAUGGCGAGAGGGGGUGCUGCGAGGCCGACGACGACGAGACGGGGAGGAGGGUGUGAGGAGAUGCGAGAGGAGGAGCAGGGAAGUGUCUAGAAGCGGAUAGGGUGAGGUGGGG
Molecule: long non-coding RNA, 3514 nt
Filed under: Setaria viridis
Lineage: Eukaryota; Viridiplantae; Streptophyta; Magnoliopsida; Poales; Poaceae
Description: long non-coding RNA (SVIR_LNC006401)
Source: RNAcentral